RNAcentral lists this unclassified non-coding RNA (248 nucleotides) under Hevea brasiliensis (rubber tree). The record is from RNAcentral. Lineage: Eukaryota; Viridiplantae; Streptophyta; Magnoliopsida; Malpighiales; Euphorbiaceae.
GGUUGUUUUUGGCCGCACUGUCUGUUUCCUGAAGUUUUUAUCGGAGCUUCUCUAGGAAAAUCUUCCGCAGAGCAGUUUGGUGAUGGCACCAAAACAGCCUAAUACUGGCCUUUUUGUGGGUCAAAAUAAAGGACAUGUAGUGACAAAGAAGGAAUUGGCUCCACGUCCUUCUGACAGAAAGGGGAGAACUAGCAAGAGGGUCAGUUUCGUGAGAAACCUCAUCAGGGAAGUGGCUGGUUUUGCUCCUU